UACAGAGACUGCAAGCGUUACUCGGAUUCACUGGGCGUAAAGGGAGCGCAGGCGGACCGAUGUGUCGGAUGUGAAACCCCAGGGCUCAACCCUGGGACUGCGUCCGAAACUGUCGGUCUAGGGACUCGGAGGGGCUAGUGGAAUUCCUGGUGGAGCAGUGAAAUGCGUAGAUAUCAGGAGGAACACCAACGGCGAAGGCAGCUAGCUGGACGAGAUCCGACGCUCAGGCUCGAAAGUAUGGGGAGCAAAAAGGAUUAGAUACCCUUGUAGUCCAUACUGUAAACGUUGUUGAUUAGGUCUUGGAGCAUUCGAACGCUCCAGGGCUCAAGCUAACGCAAUAAAUCAACCGCCUGAGGACUACGGCCGCAAGGCUAAA
Molecule: ribosomal RNA, 376 nt
Filed under: uncultured bacterium
Lineage: Bacteria
Description: bacterial SSU rRNA
Rfam family: Bacterial small subunit ribosomal RNA
Source: RNAcentral